UACAGAGGUCUCAAGCGUUGUUCGGAUUCAUUGGGCGUAAAGGGUGCGUAGGUGGCGCCAUAAGUCAGGUGUGAAAUCUCGGGGCUCAACCCCGAAACUGCACUUGAUACUGUGGUGCUGGAGUACUGGAGAGGAGAUUGGAAUUUACGGUGUAGCAGUGAAAUGCGUAGAUAUCGUAAGGAAGACCGGUGGCGAAGGCGAAUCUCUGGACAGUUACUGACACUGAGGCACGAAGGCCAGGGGAGCAAACGGG
This 253-nucleotide ribosomal RNA is filed under the name uncultured bacterium. RNAcentral describes it as "partial 16S ribosomal RNA". It matches the Rfam family "Bacterial small subunit ribosomal RNA", at positions 524 to 776 of the family's 1533-position model. The record is from RNAcentral.